GUUUACUAUCAUCUGCCAUUCUCAUUACUGUUCAAAGAAGCCUCUGACAGAAGCAGAACCCCAACCAACUGAUGGACAGUGGCACAAAGGGGCACUAAAGUUAUAUUAGGAAUGUUUGCAUCUUAUUAUUCAGGCUCCAUCUCGAGCAGAUGGCUCAGCGUCUUCAAAGGGGAUUUAGAGCAUUGCAGAGCAGGAUGGCAGUGCAGCAGCCCAGGUAAAGGAAGAUCUGUGAGAAGUCCAAG
RNAcentral lists this long non-coding RNA (242 nucleotides) under Homo sapiens (human). RNAcentral's name for it is "HSALNT0358265". Lineage: Eukaryota; Metazoa; Chordata; Mammalia; Primates; Hominidae. The record is from RNAcentral.